UGCAGUUUAUUUACUAAACAUAUUUCAGACAUUUUGAAUAUAUUUUCUUUUUAAAACUCAGCAACAGAUUCUUAUUUUUGAAAUACUUCUGAUUUGCUGGACCUGUGGUAAAUGUGUGGUAGGUUGUUGUUUCUAGGAAGUCAGACGGGCAGCUUGUUCUGCCCAGAACCGCUUUGUACUGGACCGGUUCUGUUGACUGCAAUUCAACUCAAAGUUCUGGGAAUCUGCACUUUGCUCCUGCUGUUUGUUGAUGGACGACUACGAUCCAUCAACCUGGACAGAACAAGUUUAUGGGUGUAGAAAACAGUUUGAGCUCCAGAGGAACUGGGUUUUCUUUUCUGUUUAGGAGUUUUUGGUACAAACAAAACCCGAAGCUAACCCUUAACCCUUAACCCUUAACCCCUAACCCUCCUGCUGACGACUCAGCAGAAACUCUCAGGUUUUCUGGAACUUUUUCAGCCUCUCAAGUUGCUGUGGAAACAUUUUUGCCAGCUCUUUUUUGAGUUUACUGAGGUCAACAGAUAUUUGUUUCUGCAUUUUCCUUUGUUGCACCCCAACAUUUCAAACAGGCUGAGGUGGGCUGGACUUUGACUGGGACGUUGCAGCACUGAUUCUUUUCUGUUCCAGACAUUCUGUUGAAAACCUGCUGCCAUAUUUGGGAUCAUUGCUCUUUGACUGACCAUCAUGCUCACACAUUAAACUGCUUUGAUGAAAAUCCUCAACUUUACUCUGUGAGCGUCCAGAACCUGCAGGACUCUUCGUUUCCCCAACAGGAAUGGAUCAGGUUGCUUGGUAGCUAACGCUAACAGGCUCAGUGCUCCAUCAAACAUUCAUCCAUCCUGUGCAUUAAUGACACGUCAUUUUUAUUUUAUACAAGUUUGGAUACAGAAGUCUGAACAGAAUGUGUUCAUUUCUGACUGAAAUCCAUUUUAUGUCUCAACUCAACGUGUUGCCUGAAGAUUCAACAAACGUUUUCCUAACAUGAUUAUUUUCUGCCUACAGUUUUUGAAACCUCUGUAAGAACCAAGUUCUGUCCAUCCUGUGACCGUCCAGCUGAGGUUCUGCUGUCAGGAUUUACCCGUCAGCCGGUCCAGUAGACAGGAAGUGUCAGAGAAAUGACUGGACCUGCAGCCUGACCCGGUCCAGGAAGUUCUGAUCCUGUUCCUGGGAGGAAACCCUUCCAACCCUCCACAUCCUGAUCAAGAGGAGAAUCCACGGAGAACUCUUCUGCUUCCUGGGCAUGCUGGUUCCACCUUGCGGUGUUAACGGACAGCGUGUUUUUGAAACCAGGGGCGCGGUACGUAUCAGCCUUCCCAGGUUCCGCCUAUAGGAACAGCACGUGGGAAAGGUGACUCUGGGACUCGGGAGUCUUAAAUGCAGUCCAGUCUUCUAGAGGAAUAGCCUCACACACACAUAUGCUACACCACACGUUGAUUGGACUGGAAAAACCUUUUCAACCAAUGAACAUCCUCUGGUCUGCUUGGAGACUAGUGUGAUUGAACUGGACCAAACGGCCGUCCUUAGCUCUAACUUGUGCUUUAUUUCAACAAGCCAUCAGGAUUCCUCCUAAAACUACUUCAUAGAAAUUAGUGCAAAUAAAUUUUGAACAGACCUACGACUUAAAAUUAUAGGAAACAACUUUAUUUUCCCAAAUGAUCAGACCUUGUGACCUAAAAGGUUGGCCUAGUUAAAGUAACAGUAGCUGGACAUAAACUGCUGCCGUGAAAUAAACUGUAGUUGAUCUUUAGAUUUUCCUCCUCUUGUGGUCGCUGAUAGUAACUACAAUAAAGCAGAAUAAAUGAGUUAUUUUCACUUUUAUCUUCAAACUAAAACCUGCUUUUCGCUCUAACAUAAAGUAACAUUUUUACAAACCAGAGCUGGAGGAAACUUUCUUAUUUUAAACAGUUUGCUUUCUCCCUAAACUAAACUAAAAUAAUGAUUCCAACUUUGUUUUUGAAACCAAUUAGCUUGAGCUGCAAACGGAGUACGAUUCUUUGCCCCCUGCUGGCCAGUUGUGGUAACUGCAAUCAACAUAAAGCUGACAAAAUUCGAUGAAACUCAAUGAAAAAUAAAACAUCUUAACAUAAAGUCACAAGUUUAAGCCAACAGAAUUCUAAGAAAUUAGCAGAAAAUUUUAAGCUCUGAUUUUACAAAGUUAGUUUCUUACAAUCUUUAAGUGGAUUUACAGGUUUUAGCUGCUGUGCUACAAUUACAGCCAUUCAUAAAAUCUCCAUAAACUGGAUUAAAGCAGCAACAUUUAAGAGACAUGAAGACUCGACAGUAAACUGUAGUUAGCUGGAACUAAAUGUACUAAUAAACUAAACAUGACCAGUUUGGUAGAAAGAGGAACUUUUCAGCACAAAAUGAAGUUUUAUAUUAAUUCUAUUUCUGCAUCAACACUUUAUGGACUUCAUGGUUACUAUAAACCCUGAUACGGUUCAAAGACUGUAAGAUUUCUUAACUUACUUUUGCAACAAGUAGAAAGUCUUUUAUUCCACCAGCAGUGAAGCUAAGUGAAGAGAUUAAUCUCCUGUUUGAACUUUAGACUGAUUGUGGCAAUAAAUGAGUUGCUGGACAUUAAAGUUGAUAUUCUAAUAUUCAUCCUUUGAAUUAUGACAAUGGAGUCAUAUUGGUGCCAACCAUUUCCAGAGAUAUGAAAUGUGCAGAAAAGAGGCAAAUGUGUGAAAUAAAUAUCUUUUAUUGUUUUCAUGGUCAUCAUAAUUCUGGAAGCAGAAACCAUCCAAUGGUUCUGCUGCGUCUCUCGGACCCAACCAUGCAGGAAAUCUCCCAUAAAAAACAAACUAAAUAAAAAAUAUAUAUUAAAAAUUAUGUGUACCACUGAUAUACAGAUCUGAUAUAAACAGGCGAAUUGGUCACAAACCAAUCAGAAUUAGAAACAUGGCUUCCUUUACAAGACACAACCAACAGGAAACAAGAGGGACAUUUUCAUUUUACACAUCUGUACAUUUCAUCAUUAUUUUAAUGUUUGUACCUCUGCAGGUCAGAACACACACACACACACACCCCAGGUGCGACAGCAGUAGCUAAAGAGAGAACUGUGGGUGUAUCUGCAGCUGACAAAUACUGAAGAGUUGAACCACUGCUGCGCAACGCCCCCUGGAGGUGAAAAUGACACAUUACAUUCAGCAGAGGUGAACUGGACCUUCAUCACACACACACAAAAAAACAGUGUUUAAAAUGUGCAAAGAAAAGAUUUAUGAAGCUGCUUCAGAGACGGCUGCUGAGGAAAUGGGAGAAAACAUCAGUGGAUCCCACAGCGCCUCCUGGUGGUGGAGGCUCUGCCUGCAGGACUUCCUGUUGGGACCAGAACCCAACCGAUCACAGCAGCAGCAUGGACUGAUCCACUUCCUGCUGCUGCCACCUAGUGGCCCCAGGUGAAAGGCGGAGCUUUGGUUCUGAACCCAACCUGCACCUUUAGGAAGCUCCGCCCCCUUGGGAAGCCCCGCCCCCAGCUCAGUGUCUGAUUGGCUGCUCAGAAACCUUCAGAGCAUGUGGUCAAUUUAAAAGCAUCCCAACUCUGAUUCUUUUAAUUUGAUGGGAACAGGAAGCUGACUCUUCAAGUGGGGGUUAGUGGCUGCAGAA
Molecule: long non-coding RNA, 3603 nt
Organism: Gambusia affinis (western mosquitofish)
Lineage: Eukaryota; Metazoa; Chordata; Actinopteri; Cyprinodontiformes; Poeciliidae
Exons: 2
Source: RefSeq, a predicted model, not a curated record